This is a long non-coding RNA of Puntigrus tetrazona (Sumatra barb), 716 nucleotides long. RefSeq lists it as uncharacterized. The transcript is spliced from 3 exons. Lineage: Eukaryota; Metazoa; Chordata; Actinopteri; Cypriniformes; Cyprinidae. The record is from RefSeq and is a predicted model, not a curated record.
AGUAGUCGAUCACAGAAAAUAUUUCGUACGGCGUCUCGGAAUGUUUCCAGCAGCUACAGUAUAUUAUUAACGCGCCGGUUCUGAGAGGACAAAAGCAGCUAUGUUACUAUGACUGAUUAUGAGUGGGUUUUCUUAUCUGGCCGAGAGGUUGGCUUCAUGUCUUACAUCCUCAAGAAGAGCCACAAACACUGAGGGACAUGCUAUCAGACACCAAGUUUGGUCAGUCUCAGGUCCACCUCUACCAAGUCACCCUUCCACAUUCAGUAUGGUUCCUAUAUAAGCAGCACUUUGAUGGGAAUUAAUAAAUGUGAGAUAAAUCCAUAUUUCCAGUCAUUUUUCAUGUACUGACAGCAAUGAUGAAUUGCCUGUAAACUCUAUGAAGGGGAUGGACAUUUCUGAUAACCUGUUCAGUAAAUAAAUCAUCAUAUCAUACAAAACUGAGUGGUCAAUGAGGAUAUAUACAAUGAUCUCAUAUGAACCUAUAAUAAACAAUUGAUGUUUACAUACUGCUUUAUUAAUAUCUUUUUUAGUUGAAGAUGCACUACAUGAAACAAUGCAAAACUUAAAAUGUGAUUAUUAGUACAUUUGAAAACUAAACACCUGAGGUCUAUUGUUCCAGUGUUAUAGAAGCACAUUCAAUAUGAAAACCAAUCUGUCAUGUACUCAGAUACAUUUAGAAAGAAAAUGACCAAUUUAACAUCUGUACACUACAAAAA